RNAcentral lists this transfer RNA (72 nucleotides) under Marmota marmota marmota (Alpine marmot). It matches the Rfam family "tRNA". From Rfam's summary of the family: Transfer RNA (tRNA) molecules are approximately 80 nucleotides in length. Their secondary structure includes four short double-helical elements and three loops (D, anti-codon, and T loops). Lineage: Eukaryota; Metazoa; Chordata; Mammalia; Rodentia; Sciuridae. RNAcentral also lists the same sequence under 3 other names. The record is from Rfam by way of RNAcentral.
UGGGGUGUGGCUCAGUAGUAGAGUGCUUGCCUAGCACAUGUGAGGCCCUGGGUUUGAUCCUCAGCACCACAU